RNAcentral lists this ribosomal RNA (337 nucleotides) under uncultured bacterium. Its description in RNAcentral is "bacterial SSU rRNA". It matches the Rfam family "Bacterial small subunit ribosomal RNA", at positions 8 to 334 of the family's 1533-position model. The record is from RNAcentral.
AGGGUUCGAUUCUGGCUCAGGAUGAACGCUAGCUACAGGCUUAACACAUGCAAGUCGAGGGGAAACGGCAUCAAGCGCUUGCGCCUGAUGGACGUCGACCGGCGCACGGGUGAGUAACGCGUAUCCAACCUGCCCCACACUAAGGGAUAACCCGCAGAAAUGUGGACUAAUACCUUAUAUUUUCCACCAAGGGCAUCGUCGAUGGAACAAAGAUUUAUCGGUAUGGGAUGGGGAUGCGUCCGAUUAGGUUGUUGGCGGGGUAACGGCCCACCAAGCCUUCGAUCGGUAGGGGUUCUGAGAGGAAGGUCCCCCACAUAGGAACUGAGACACGGUCCUA